Rhineura floridana is the source of this 107-nucleotide small nuclear RNA. Lineage: Eukaryota; Metazoa; Chordata; Lepidosauria; Squamata; Rhineuridae. The record is from RefSeq and is a predicted model, not a curated record.
GUGCUCACUUCAGCAGCAUGUAUACUAAAACUGGAACAAUACAGAGAAGAUUAACAUGGCCUUUGCACAAGGAUGACACACAAAUUCAUGACGCGUUCCAUUUUUUU